This 252-nucleotide ribosomal RNA is filed under the name uncultured bacterium. RNAcentral's name for it is "partial 16S ribosomal RNA". It matches the Rfam family "Bacterial small subunit ribosomal RNA", at positions 524 to 776 of the family's 1533-position model. The record is from RNAcentral.
UACGUAGGUCCCGAGCGUUGUCCGGAUUUAUUGGGCGUAAAGCGAGCGCAGGUGGUUUAUUAAGUCUGGUGUAAAGGGCAGUGGCUCAACCAUUGUAUGCAUUGGAAACUGGUAGACUUGAGUGCAGGAGAGGAGAGUGGAAUUCCAUGUGUAGCGGUGAAAUGCAUAGAUAUAUGGAGGAACACCGGUGGCGAAAGCGGCUCUCUGGCCUGUAACUGACACUGAGGCUCGAAAGCGUGGGGAGCAAACAGG